Molecule: long non-coding RNA, 346 nt
Organism: Arachis stenosperma
Lineage: Eukaryota; Viridiplantae; Streptophyta; Magnoliopsida; Fabales; Fabaceae
Exons: 2
Source: RefSeq, a predicted model, not a curated record
GGUGAUCUCUAGUAGCGGAUAAUUGAUGGAUUUUAUCCCUAAUCAUGUUGGAUAAGAUGCAGGUCGUAAUCUACUUCGGUGAGAUUGUGUAUAUGGUGACAGAGCGGAGCAUGGUUAUUCCUUGUUUAUUUCUGUUUUACUUUCAUCAUAGUAUUCUCUCACCUUUUGUAUAUUUAUCUUUAUGGCCUUAGAGGCUUACUUGAUAGAUAGGAUGUAUAAGUUGUUUUAAUUCUAAAACUCUGUAUAACUCUAUUUGUAAUUAGUCAGCUUAAACUCCGCAAGCUGCGGCUAGUUUCCUAUGUUUAUAUCACUAUAUCUAUAAAUUUGUUCUAUUCUCUUGUACCUA